GUUAUGGCUCAGUGGCAGAGCGCUUGCCUAGCAUGCAUGAGGCACUGGGUUCAAUCCCCCGCAUCACA
Molecule: transfer RNA, 68 nt
Filed under: Urocitellus parryii (Arctic ground squirrel)
Lineage: Eukaryota; Metazoa; Chordata; Mammalia; Rodentia; Sciuridae
Also listed under: 2 other names
Description: Spermophilus parryii (Arctic ground squirrel) tRNA
Rfam family: tRNA
About the family: Transfer RNA (tRNA) molecules are approximately 80 nucleotides in length. Their secondary structure includes four short double-helical elements and three loops (D, anti-codon, and T loops). Further hydrogen bonds mediate the characteristic L-shaped molecular structure. tRNAs have two regions of fundamental functional importance: the anti-codon, which is responsible for specific mRNA codon recognition, and the 3' end, to which the tRNAs corresponding amino acid is attached (by aminoacyl-tRNA synthetases). tRNAs cope with the degeneracy of the genetic code in two manners: having more than one tRNA (with a specific anti-codon) for a particular amino acid; and 'wobble' base-pairing, i.e. permitting non-standard base-pairing at the 3rd anti-codon position.
Source: Rfam by way of RNAcentral